AUAUUGCGCCAUGGGGGGAACUCUUACGCAGCGACGCCGCGUGAGCGAUGAAGGUCUUCUGGUUGUUAAGCUCUGUCCUUGGGGAAGAAGGUCUUCGGACUUGACGGUUGCUAAGGAGGACGCCCCGGCUAACUACGUGCCAGCAGCCGCGGUAAUACGUAGGGGGCAAGCGUUGUCCGGGAUUAUUGGGCGUAAAGGGUUCGUAGGCGGCCUUUUAAGUCAGAUGUGAAAGCCCACGGCUUAACCGUGGGACUGCAUUUGAAACUGGAGGGCUUGAGUAUCGGAGAGGGUAGUGGAAUUCCCAGUGUAGCGGUGGAAUGCGUAGAUAUUGGGAGGAACACAAGUGGCGAAGGCGACUACCUGGACGAAAACUGACGCUGAGGCACGAAAGCUAGGGGAGCAAAC
RNAcentral lists this ribosomal RNA (405 nucleotides) under uncultured bacterium. Its description in RNAcentral is "partial 16S ribosomal RNA". It matches the Rfam family "Bacterial small subunit ribosomal RNA", at positions 361 to 773 of the family's 1533-position model. The record is from RNAcentral.